This 333-nucleotide ribosomal RNA is filed under the name Longiperna kuryi. RNAcentral's name for it is "partial large subunit ribosomal RNA". Lineage: Eukaryota; Metazoa; Arthropoda; Arachnida; Opiliones; Gonyleptidae. The record is from RNAcentral.
ACUCAGAUCACGUAAUAUUAUUAAAAGUCGAACAGACUCCCCUUUUUUAACUCCUCCACCAAAAAUAAAAAUUAAUUCAACAUCGAGGUCGCAAACUUAACUAUUAAUAAGAACUUGUUAAUUAAAUAACGCUGUUAACCCUAGAGUAACUUCAUUUUUUUUUCUCACUAAUUUUUGAUAAAAAUUUAUAUCUUCAAAAAUUGCCCCAAUCUAAAAAUUUAUUUAACAACUUAAAAAGCUUCUAGGGUCUUCUCGUCCCAAGAAUUUAUAAAAGCAUUUUUACUUUUAAUUAAAAUUCAAAUUUAUAAAAUAAAACUUCCUUUUUAGUCUUCU